AGUGAACGCUGGCGGUAGGCCUAACACAUGCAAGUCGAACGGCAGCACAGUAAGAGCUUGCUCUUACGGGUGGCGAGUGGCGGACGGGUGAGGAAUACAUCGGAAUCUACUUUUUCGUGGGGGAUAACGUAGGGAAACUUACGCUAAUACCGCAUACGACCUACGGGUGAAAGCAGGGGAUCUUCGGACCUUGCGCGAUUGAAUGAGCCGAUGUCGGAUUAGCUAGUUGGCGGGGUAAAGGCCCACCAAGGCGACGAUACGUAGCUGGUCUGAGAGGAGGAUCGGCCACACUGGGACUGAGACACGGUCCAGACUCCUACGGGAGGCAGCAGUGGGGAAUAUUGGACAAUGGGCGCAAGCCUGAUCCAGCCAUACCGCGUGGGUGAAGAAGGCCUUCGGGUUGUAAAGCCCUUUUGUUGGGAAAGAAAAGCAGCAGGUUAAUACCCCGCUGUUCUGACGGUACCCAAAGAAUAAGCACCGGCUAACUUCGUG
RNAcentral lists this ribosomal RNA (492 nucleotides) under uncultured bacterium. RNAcentral's name for it is "partial 16S ribosomal RNA". It matches the Rfam family "Bacterial small subunit ribosomal RNA", at positions 29 to 507 of the family's 1533-position model. The record is from RNAcentral.